This 108-nucleotide non-coding RNA is filed under the name Castor canadensis (American beaver). Lineage: Eukaryota; Metazoa; Chordata; Mammalia; Rodentia; Castoridae. The record is from RNAcentral.
UUAAGGUAUGAAAGGAAAGAAUGUUAGCACUCCUCUUGACAAGGAUGGAGGGAACCUUGGGCUGACAUCACACAUUGCCAUCUACCUCAUGGCAUCUGACCAUCAUUA